GAUGAACGCUGGCGGCGUGCCUAAUACAUGCAAGUCGAGCGAACAGACGAGGAGCUUGCUCCUUUGACGUUAGCGGCGGACGGGUGAGUAACACGUGGGUAACCUACCUAUAAGACUGGGAUAACUUCGGGAAACCGGAGCUAAUACCGGAUAAUAUUUCGAACCGCAUGGUUCGAUAGUGAAAGAUGGCUUUGCUAUCACUUAUAGAUGGACCUGCGCCGUAUUAGCUAGUUGGUAAGGUAACGGCUUACCAAGGCAACGAUACGUAGCCGACCUGAGAGGGUGAUCGGCCACACUGGAACUGAGGCACGGUCCAGACUCCUACGGGAGGCAGCAGUAGGGAAUCUUCCGCAAUGGGCGAAAGCCUGACGGAGCAACGCCGCGUGAGUGAUGAAGGUCUUCGGAUCGUAAAACUCUGUUAUUAGGGAAGAACAAACGUGUAAGUAACUGUGCACGUCUUGACGGUACCUAAUCAGAAAGCCACGGCUAACUACGUGCCAGCAGCCGCGGUAAUACGUAGGUGGCAAGCGUUAUCCGGAAUUAUUGGGCGUAAAGCGCGCGUAGGCGGUUUUUUAAGUCUGAUGUGAAAGCCCACGGCUCAACCGUGGAGGGUCAUUGGAAACUGGAAAACUUGAGUGCAGAAGAGGAAAGUGGAAUUCCAUGUGUAGCGGUGAAAUGCGCAGAGAUAUGGAGGAACACCAGUGGCGAAGGCGACUUUCUGGUCUGUAACUGACGCUGAUGUGCGAAAGCGUGGGGAUCAAACAGGAUUAGAUACCCUGGUAGUCCACGCCGUAAACGAUGAGUGCUAAGUGUUAGGGGGUUUCCGCCCCUUAGUGCUGCAGCUAACGCAUUAAGCACUCCGCCUGGGGAGUACGACCGCAAGGUUGAAACUCAAAGGAAUUGACGGGGACCCGCACAAGCGGUGGAGCAUGUGGUUUAAUUCGAAGCAACGCGAAGAACCUUACCAAAUCUUGACAUCCUUUGACCCUUCUAGAGAUAGAAGUUUCCCCUUCGGGGGACAAAGUGACAGGUGGUGCAUGGUUGUCGUCAGCUCGUGUCGUGAGAUGUUGGGUUAAGUCCCGCAACGAGCGCAACCCUUAAGCUUAGUUGCCAUCAUUAAGUUGGGCACUCUAAGUUGACUGCCGGUGACAAACCGGAGGAAGGCGGGGAUGACGUCAAAUCAUCAUGCCCCUUAUGAUUUGGGCUACACACGUGCUACAAUGGACAAUACAAAGGGCAGCGAAACCGCGAGGUCAAGCAAAUCCCAUAAAGUUGUUCUCAGUUCGGAUUGUAGUCUGCAACUCGACUACAUGAAGCUGGAAUCGCUAGUAAUCGUAGAUCAGCAUGCUACGGUGAAUACGUUCCCGGGUCU
This 1372-nucleotide ribosomal RNA is filed under the name uncultured bacterium. RNAcentral's name for it is "bacterial SSU rRNA". It matches the Rfam family "Bacterial small subunit ribosomal RNA", at positions 28 to 1381 of the family's 1533-position model. The record is from RNAcentral.